This 528-nucleotide ribosomal RNA is filed under the name [Candida] sp. NCAIM Y.01958. Its description in RNAcentral is "eukaryotic LSU rRNA". It matches the Rfam family "Eukaryotic large subunit ribosomal RNA", at positions 62 to 611 of the family's 3401-position model. Lineage: Eukaryota; Fungi; Ascomycota; Saccharomycetes; Saccharomycetales. The record is from RNAcentral. RNAcentral also lists the same sequence under 1 other name.
AAACCAACAGGGAUGGCCUUAGUAGCGGCGAGUGAAGCGGCCAAAGCUCAAAUUUGAAAUCCUCCGGGAAUUGUAAUUUGUAGACUUGUUCUAGGUGACUGACUAAAGUUUGCUGGAAUGCAACGCCUUAGAGGGUGACAGCCCCGUUAAGUCUUAACCGAUUGUAGAGCAAUGUCAAAGAGUCGAGUUGUUUGGGAAUGCAGCUCAAAGUGGGUGGUAAACUCCAUCUAAAGCUAAAUAUUGGCGAGAGACCGAUAGCGAACAAGUACAGUGAUGGAAAGAUGAAAAGAACUUUGAAAAGAGAGUGAAAUAGUACGUGAAAUUGUUGAAAGGGAAGGAUUUAGUGGUAGACUUGGCUUUACGGAACAGUUGUCUCUCGGGAUUGCGUACUCCGUCUUUUGCCGGGUGAAGCCAUGUGAUGAGGGGUUAAGAAACCUCUAGGAAUGUGGCACCAACUUGUUGGUGUGUUAUAGCCUAGAGAAAUUGACCCAUUCGCUACAUUGGCUUCACGUAAUACUACUAAAUCAC